This is a long non-coding RNA of Xiphophorus hellerii (green swordtail), 4772 nucleotides long. RefSeq lists it as uncharacterized. The record is from RefSeq and is a predicted model, not a curated record. NCBI's taxonomy places the organism in Eukaryota, Metazoa, Chordata, Actinopteri, Cyprinodontiformes, Poeciliidae. The transcript has 3 exons.
CCAUGCAACCCCCCCCCCCCCUGCCCACCCCUCUACCCCAUCCGCCCCAUUCAGCUCCUGCCAGCAGCGCCGUCCUGGAUUUUCUACCCCUUUAAACAGAGGCUGCUUGGUUUUCUGCAGCGCGACGGCGGGACACACAGUGAGAUUUAUAGAAACUCGUCGGCUCUGCUGAUGCGUCAUGGUAGCGUUCGUGCCAAAAAGCGCUCAACUUCCAGGCGUUAUUUUUAACUUAAUUAAUGCACACGUGGGAGAAGGAAAAAAAAAGGAGCAAGGCUCGAUUGCUGUAACACGCUUCCAGGGUAUGAUUUGGUCUUGUGAGGAGUAUGUUGGAGUGUGUGAUUCCCUCUCUCUCUCACUUUCUCUGUGUGUGUGUGGUGUGUGCGUGUGCGUGUGGGGGUGUGUGUGUAUGUGUGUGUAAAACCUUGUUGCCCUCAGGACAGGCAGCAGCCAGCAGCUGUUUGACGGAGGCAUGGACCCUCCACCAGCAACCAGAGAAAACUCCUGGCUUUCCUUUUGUGUGUGUGUGUGUGUGUGUGUGUUCCAGUGUUAUUUUCCCAUUUGUUACAAUUGUAUAUGGAGCACUUUGCUUCUUGCAGGAGUGUUUUGCGCAUGUUGCGCGAGAGCAGAAGCGCACCUGGAUGACGGUGGACAGGCUGCUGUCUCAGCUUUGCGCAGCCCCGACUGUUGACUUGCACAUGUUUGUUGCUUUGCUUGCUUGUUUGUUUGUUUGUUUGCUGCAGGCACGCAGAGAUCGUUUUCUUUUUAUGUUGGUCUGCGGGCUUCUGAGCGCGAGGUUUGAAGAACAACAAGGUAAAUGUUUUCAGAUCUGUGUGAGAGGUGUCAAUUAGACACUCAGGUGACCCAGAUUAUUUGGAGUGUAUUAUUAUUUAUAGUUAUUAUAUUUUAAAAAAUAUUGUAGGAAAUUGUAGGAUUUAAGAUUUAUUACAUUUGUAACACAUUAAUAUUAUUAUUAUAAACAAUUGUAAUAUUGGUGGUGUAAGUGAGGCGCAUGUUGCAUCAAGUCGAAAUGUAUAUUUAAAGAAUCAAGCUGUUUAUUAUUAUUAUUAUUAUUAUUAUUAUUAUUAUUAUUAUUAUUAUGUGUCUUUGCUUUCUUUUCUUUUUAAGAGACUAAGUCGACUUUUUUAUUCCCCUAAUGCUGUCAGGCUGCUCGUUAUAUUCAUGUGGUGCCGGGCCUCCAGCCCACAUGUCAUAUGGGAAUGGUUUCCGUCUAGUUUGGCUGCAUAAAGGCGGCUCUAUAUGCUGGAGCCUAUUAAGGAUCGGUGGUGACGGAGCAACUGCAGUCUGCUGGGAGAGCGGCGCGGAUCAGUUUGCUCGGAGGGGGAAAAAAAUAAGUCAUACAGUAUUUUGUUCGAAUUAGUUGUCAUUCGAACAAAAAUAACAUGUUCAUUAUUACUAUUCUAAUUACUAUUAUUAUUAGUAGUAGUAGUAAAAGUAGUAAUAGUAUUUAUUUAUUUAUUAGCUGUCACGAGAUAGCUGAUUUGAAUAAAUGCCAUCAAACACCUCACCAGCACCAGUCCACCGCUGCUGGCGAACAAUCGCCAUGGGAUGUUUUUCUCGCGAGUCGAAGAGCAACGAAAGCCCGAUUAUUAAUCAAUAAAUAAUCAGCAGUAAUUAGCUUACAUUCACUGGAUAUUUUGGGGAAGAUUGUCUCGCCUCCCUAUGAGCAGGAUGAGGAGGAAGAGCGGUGGUGAUUUUUCUUAUUGGCUUGAAGGAGGGAGGAGGGUGAAAAAUGUUUUUUUGCUUUGUUUUUUUUUUUAUGUACCUGUUGCGCCGACGGGGUACAGGGGUGAGCACCUUGUUAUUUUUUAAUAAUCUAUUUGUCAUGCUUCGGGUGAACAGGAAUCAUUAAAGGUGAACAUUUUAAAGGCAAGUUACAAACGGAAGCUCAGAAGGACUGCUGGUGGUAGACAAUUAAAAAGUGAAAUUAGAUGAAUGUCUGCCAGGUCAAUUAUUAUUAUUAUUAUUAUUAUUAUUAAUAAUAUAAUAAUUAAUAAUAUUUAAUAUUAUUAAAUGGCUGGCUUACCUUGAAAAGAAAAGAGAGAAUUUUGACUUUAUAUAUAUAUAUAUAUAUAUAUAUAUAUAUAUAUAUAUAUAUAUAUACCCUGAAUUACCUCCACAAACCGACCCGAUACAGCUGAGGCCUUUAAAUAUUUCCCGCACCUCAUUGACUUGGACAAAUGAUUCCACACGCUGCAACACCUUUUCUUUUCUUUUUUAAACAGGAGCAAUUAACAGCAAUUAGGCUACGCAAAAGAAAGUCUUGCUGUCCAACGCCAGCCAGCCUGGGGUAUUAUCUAUAGUUUUCCUGCAUCGUUUAAACGCCGAUAUUUAUUUUAUUUUAUUUAUUUAUUUAUUUUUUAAAGGGAUUUGGGGGAGGCUGCGUAGGGAAAACCUCUUGUUUUGUCUCGCAGACUGGAAAGAGCUGCGCCGCUGGCUCCGGCCCAGGAAGAGAGGUGGAGAGUUGCGCUGCUUCUUCUGAGCAGGAUCCCCACUCGUUUUUAUUAAGCCCUUUAAUUGGACUAAACGGGAGCAGACCAAAUUCAUUAUCAGCUCAAAGGGGAUCACGAACAGAAGAAAAGCAACGUUGGGAUGCAAAUUUGUUUGACUUGCUGUCAGUGGCGCCACCAAGGGCCUGCAAGAUCAUCAGUGGCCCCCAUCGAUGCCCUUUGAUACACGCGUGGACGCCCCUGUGUGCCUUUAGUUUAAUCACCUUAUUUGGAGCUUAUGUGUCAGUAUGUUGUCACUGAGGGUAUUGUUGGCCCUUUAUGAGCACGUGUCAGCCUUUUACAUUGUAAACGACACGUUUACACCAAUCACUUUCAGUUCCUAAAUCACUUUGAUGAAGCAAAAGCAAAGAUUCUCCAAGCUGAACAGAAAGACUUGGAAAGCCUUAAGGAUAAAAAAAAUAAGACUAAUGUAUUAUGUUGCACUCGGUGUUGCAGUUCUGUCCUCCAUAUUGGCUUAUAGUGUUUUCUGGGAUAUGUAUUAAAUAAAUCCAAGGAGUGGGCCAUUCAUAAAAUGAUUUCAGGAGUAUUAUCACGUAAUUAAGCUCUGAUUAAAAAUAAUAAAACAACAAGUUCCUACUCUUAAUUACAAGUAGGCUGAUUUGAUAUGUUAGAAUAUGAUUUUUUGUUCCUUUUUUUACUACUGACAUUUUUUUUUUUCAUUUUAAAAUAUGGUAGCUCUCAUAAGUUAGCGAGCAACAUAAAAAAAAACACAGGGCAUUUAUCACAGACAAAUAAAAGCAGAUUAAGUUUAAUAAACAAAUGGAAUCAAAUUUCAAAGACUAUUGCCCCUUUGUGUUUUCUUUUCAGAAUCGUCACUGCUAGACAUCCGUACAUAAAAAAAAAAUAACCAUGUAUAUGUAGAAAUAAAAAAAAGAGUACUUUGUAGAACAAUUUGAGUAUAUUAAUACUAAUAAAUAACGCUUGUAUAGGCUGGUACUUUUUUCUUUUUUUCUUUUUUUUUUUUUUUUUAAAUGCUAUGAGAAAUAUUUAAAUAAGAUUCCGGGCAGCGGGGUCAACGUGGUGGCGCCACAGCCAUCACAGUUUUACAUCAAACCCCCGCAAUUCGAUGAUUAACUGAAAAAUAUUCACUUCAAAAUAUAACCCACUGUAAUCUUUUAUUUCUUCUUUUUCUGCGUGUAUUCUCUGAGGCGGGGUUCCGACACUGUGGACUGGUGUGGCGUGGACGGCCUGUGGUGACUCUACCUCCCACUCCUACUCACACACGCACGCACACACACACACACACACACGCACACGCAGAAACAGAGAAACAUAUGCACAAAGCCCGCUGAAACACAAGCUUUAUCCGCGAUGGAGAGGGGCUUUGGGUCUGUGGAUUAGACGUUGUGCGCAGAUAACAUCGGCGCAUAUCAGAAAUGUGAAAUGGAGCACCUCGCGGCGCGGCGCGCGGGGGGAACAUCAAAAAGCCGCAGCGGGCCUUUCUUGUGGGCGCGGUGAGUAUUGUAAAUUUGCGAACUGUAGUUCUGACCCACUUGAUGUAACGGGAGAGUAAACACACUUAGUACAGCUGGAAGGAGGCAGGCGCUUGGAGUGAAACUAUAACGCCAUCGGCCGCAGAAUGACCCACCUCUUGACGCCUGACAAAGAAGUGAUGUUCUUUUGUCAAAAAAUGAUCAAAAAAAGAAGAAAAAAGAAAAAAUGAUCACCCAGAUUCCAGCAGCUAAUCAAUCACAAAAUCCAUUUGUCCCUAUAAAGUCUCGAGAGGAGCCCCUCUGCAGCCUCCUUCUCCUUUAAUGAAGCAGCACCCAGGAGCGGUCACGGUGAAGUCGCCCUGGUAAUUAUUAGACAUUAAUUGGGUUCAGGACCUUGUGCGUCUAUGGGAAAUGGGAAAUCUGACCGCUAAUCCAAGAUAUUUCUUUGGGGCCUUUUUUUUUUUUUUUUUUUUGCAGUGUUGUUAACAUGCUGUCAGAAGCUGCAGCGCUGCAGCUACCGAGCGGGGAAAUGGGAGAGGUUAGAGGGCAGCCGGUGUACAGGCACCAAAACCUGCAAGAGCAAGGUCUGAGCUGCAGAAAUGUUUCCAACCAAAGCAUUUUACACAUGAGAGUGCACGCGGGUUGGAAGUCUCCUGAUUCCUGGUGUAUCACGAAACAAAGAUCACGGGGUUUAUAUCGGAGCGUGAGAUAUUUAUGUAAAUAGAUAAGAAUGGAUAAAAUGGGAGCUCCAAUCUACAACCAGAAAUAUGAUUACAUUUGUUUUAAUAAAGUUUUUUUUUUUUUUUUUAAA